This 476-nucleotide long non-coding RNA is filed under the name Bos taurus (domestic cattle). RNAcentral's name for it is "long non-coding RNA NONBTAT006648". Lineage: Eukaryota; Metazoa; Chordata; Mammalia; Artiodactyla; Bovidae. The record is from RNAcentral.
UGUGUUAUUAAAUGAGGAUAAGAGAAUGUGUUACUAAAUUUCUAGAAGGGCACACUUCAUAUUUUGGUGGCAGCCCUCAACAAUUACUUCUGUGACAUUUUAAUUUGUACCAACUUUCAAAAACAUGAUGGAAAUAGCUCACAAUUUAUUUUCAAAAUACAUUAAUAAACAACUGUUUUGAGAAGCAUUUUAUCUUCUGUAUGUGUUUUCCAAAUUAUUUUUAUGCUAUGAAAUAAUUAGUUCUCAUAAAUGUCUGAUAGUUAAAAUAGCACUUAGCCAUAUAUUCAUUCAAAUAUCUCAAAACAUGAAUUUCAAAAUAAGUAUUUGAAAAUGAGUUUUAAAUAUAUAUUGAUUUUUCCACUCUUAAAUACACAAUAGGGGGAAAAAUGAAUAAGUAUCACUUAUUGAAUAAGUAAAAUGAAUAAGUAUACUGAAUAAGUAUCACUCACUGGGCUGUAAGAAUUAUAAAAUAGAGA